GAUGAACGCUGGCGGCGUGCUUAACACAUGCAAGUCGAACGAAACACCUUAUUUGAUUUUCUUCGGAACUGAAGAUCUGGUGAUUGAGUGGCGGACGGGUGAGCAACGCGUGGGUAACCUGCCCCGUACAGGGGGAUAACAGACAGAAAUGACUGCUAAUACCGCAUAAGACCCCAGCACCGCAUGGUGCAGGGGUAAAAAGUCUGGUGGUACAGGAUGGACCCGCGUCUGAUUAGCUGGUUGGUGAGGUAACGGCCCACGAGGGCGAGGAUCAGUAGCCGGGUACUGAGAGUGAGCGGAGACAUUGAGAGUGAGAAGCAGCCGGGACUCCUACGGGAGGGGGGAGUGGGGGAUAUUGCACAGUGGGGGAAGCGAUGAUGGAGUGAGGCCGGGAAAGUGAUGAAAUAUGGGAGUAUGUAAUGCUCUAGCAGCAGGGAAGGAAAUGACGGUACCUGACUAGAAAGCCCCGGCUAACUACGUG
RNAcentral lists this ribosomal RNA (481 nucleotides) under uncultured bacterium. RNAcentral describes it as "partial 16S ribosomal RNA". It matches the Rfam family "Bacterial small subunit ribosomal RNA", at positions 28 to 507 of the family's 1533-position model. The record is from RNAcentral.